RNAcentral lists this transfer RNA (26 nucleotides) under Rhynchospora chapadensis. RNAcentral's name for it is "partial tRNA-Phe". The record is from RNAcentral. Lineage: Eukaryota; Viridiplantae; Streptophyta; Magnoliopsida; Poales; Cyperaceae.
GUCGGGAUAGCUCAGUUGGNAGAGCA